Molecule: ribosomal RNA, 463 nt
Filed under: uncultured bacterium
Lineage: Bacteria
Description: partial 16S ribosomal RNA
Rfam family: Bacterial small subunit ribosomal RNA
Source: RNAcentral
GACGAACGCUGGCGGCGUGCUUAACACAUGCAAGUCGAACGGAAAGGCCUUUUCGGAGGUACUCGAGUGGCGAACGGGUGAGUAACACGUGGGUGAUCUGCCCUGCACUCUGUGAUAAGCCUGGGAAACUGGGUCUAAUACCGGAUAGGACCGCACUUUAGUGUGUGUGGUGGAAAGUUUUUUCGGUGUAGGAUGAGCCCGCGGCCUAUCAGCUUGUUGGUGGGGUAAUGGCCUACCAAGGCGGCGACGGGUAGCCGGACUGAGAGGUUGGUCGGCCACAUUGGGACUGAGAUACGGCCCAGACUCCUACGGGAGGCAGCAGUGGGGAAUAUUGCACAAUGGGCACAAGCCUGAUGCAGCGACGCCGCGUGGGGGAUGACGGCCUUCGGGUUGUAAACUCCUUUCGCCAGGGACGAAGCGUUUUGUGACGGUACCUGGAGAAGAAGCACCGGCUAACUACGUG